UGGGGAAUUUUGGACAAUGGGCGCAAACCUGAUCCAGCCAUGCCGCGUGCGGGAAGAAGGCCUUCGGGUUGUAAACCGCUUUUGUCAGGGAAGAAAUCUUCUGAGUUAAUACCUCGGGGAGGAUGACGGUACCUGAAGAAUAAGCACCGGCUAACUACGUGCCAGCAGCCGCGGUAAUACGUAGGGUGCAAGCGUUAAUCGGAAUUACUGGGCGUAAAGCGUGCGCAGGCGGUUUUGUAAGACAGAGGUGAAAUCCCCGGGCUCAACCUGGGAACUGCCUUUGUGACUGCAAGGCUUGAGUGCGGCAGAGGGGGAUGGAAUUCCGCGUGUAGCAGUGAAAUGCGUAGAUAUGCGGAGGAACACCGAUGGCGAAGGCCAAUCCCCUGGGCCUGCACUGACGCUCAUGCACGAAAGCGUGGGGAGCAAACAGGAUUAGAUACCCCUGGUAGUCCACGCCCUAAACGAUGUCAACUGGUUGUUGGGAAGGUUCCUUCUCAGUAACGUAGCUAACGCGGUG
This 517-nucleotide ribosomal RNA is filed under the name uncultured bacterium. Its description in RNAcentral is "partial 16S ribosomal RNA". It matches the Rfam family "Bacterial small subunit ribosomal RNA", at positions 355 to 862 of the family's 1533-position model. The record is from RNAcentral.